Molecule: ribosomal RNA, 462 nt
Filed under: uncultured bacterium
Lineage: Bacteria
Description: partial 16S ribosomal RNA
Rfam family: Bacterial small subunit ribosomal RNA
Source: RNAcentral
GAACGCUGGCGGCGUGCUUAACACAUGCAAGUCGAACGGAAAGGCCCCUUUGGGGGUACUCGAGUGGCGAACGGGUGAGUCACACGUGAGUAACCUGCCCUUGACUUCGGGAUAACUUCAGGAAACUGGGGCUAAUACCGGAUAGGAAUCCUUGCUGCAUGGUGGGGGUUGGAAAGCUUCGGCGGUUUUGGAUGGACUCGCGGCUUAUCAGCUUGUUGGUGGGGUAGUGGCUUACCAAGGCUUUGACGGGUAGCCGGCCUGAGAGGGCGACCGGCCACAUUGGGACUGAGAUACGGCCCAGACUCCUACGGGAGGCAGCGGUGGGGAAUAUUGCACAAUGGGCGGAAGCCUGAUGCAGCAACGCCGCGUGCGGGAUGACGGCCUUCGGGUUGUAAACCGCUUUCAGCAGGGGCGAAGCUUGUGGUGACGGUACCUGCAGAAGAAGCACCGGCUAACUACGUG